RNAcentral lists this ribosomal RNA (1009 nucleotides) under Anaerolineales bacterium. Its description in RNAcentral is "partial 23S ribosomal RNA". It matches the Rfam family "Bacterial large subunit ribosomal RNA", at positions 1913 to 2925 of the family's 2925-position model. The record is from RNAcentral. Lineage: Bacteria; Bacillati; Chloroflexota; Anaerolineae; Anaerolineales.
GGAAGAGGGACGGCGGCCGUAACUAUAACGGUCCUAAGGUAGCGAAAUUCCUUGUCGGGUAAGUUCCGACCCGCACGAAAGGUGUAACAAUCAGAGCGCUGUCUCGACGAAGGACUCGGUGAAAUUGAAGUACGCGUAAAGAUGCGCGUUACCCGCAGCAGCACAAAAAGACCCCGUGGAGCUUUACUGCAGGCUGUCAUUGUGUUUGGACAUGGUUUGUGCAGGAUAGGUGGGAGGCUAGGAAACCGGAGCGCCAGCUUCGGUGGAGCCGCCACUGGAAUACCACCCUGAUCAUGUUUAGGCCCUAACUCCAGUCCGUGAUCCGGACUGAGGACAGUGCCAGUUGGGCAGUUUGACUGGGGCGGUCGCCUCCUAAAAAGUAACGGAGGCGCCCAAAGGUUCCCUCAGGUUGAAUGGAAACCAACCGUAGAGUGUAAAAGCAUAAGGGAGCUUGACUGCAAGACCAACGCGUCGAGCAGGGACGAAAGUCGGGUUUAGUGAUCCCAUGAUACCGUGUGGAAGGGUCAUGGCUUACCGGAUAAAAGCUACCCCGGGGAUAACAGACUAGUCUGGUCCAAGAGUUCACAUCGACGACCAGGCUCGGUACCUCGAUGUCGGCUCAUCGCAUCCUGGGGCUGAAUAAGGUCCCAAGGGUUGGGCUGUUCGCCCAUUAAAGCGGUACGUGAGCUGGGUUCAGACCGUCGUGAGACAGGUCGGUCUCUAUGCGCUGUGGGCGUAAGGAAUUUGCGAGGAGCUGCUCCUAGUACGAGAGGACCGGAGUGGACAGACCUCUAGUGUGCCAGUUGUUCCGCCAGGAGCAUCGCUGGGUAGCUACGUCUGGCAGAGAUAACCGCUGAAAGCAUCUAAGCGGGAAACUCGCCUCAAGAUUAGAUUCCUCAUCCCGUUAAGGGAGUAAGACCGCAGGAAGACUACCUGCUAGAUAGGCGGCGUGUGUAAGCACAGCAAUGUGUUGAGCUAAGCCGUACUAAUGGUCGAGGGCUUAAAACGU